Molecule: ribosomal RNA, 253 nt
Filed under: uncultured bacterium
Lineage: Bacteria
Description: partial 16S ribosomal RNA
Rfam family: Bacterial small subunit ribosomal RNA
Source: RNAcentral
UACGUAGGGAGCAAGCGUUGUCCGGAAUCAUUGGGCGUAAAGCGCGCGUAGGUGGCUCUAUAAGUCCGUUGUGAAAGUCAAAGGCUCAACCUUUGAAAGCCGAUGGAUACUGUGGAGCUAGAGUACGGAAGAGGCGAGUGGAAUUCCUGGUGUAGCGGUGGAAUGCGCAGAUAUCAGGAGGAACACCAAUAGCGAAGGCAGCUCGCUGGGACGUUACUGACGCUGAGGCGCGACAGCGUGGGGAGCAAACAGG